GAUGAACGCUGGCGGCGUGCUUAACACAUGCAAGUCGAACGGAAAGGCCCAAGCUUGCUUGGGUCCUCGAGUGGCGAACGGGUGAGUAACACGUGGGUGAUCUGCCCUGCACUUCGGGAUAAGCCUGGGAAACUGGGUCUAAUACCGGAUAGGACGAUGGUUUGGAUGCCAUUGUGGAAAGUUUUUUCGGUGUGGGAUGAGCUCGCGGCCUAUCAGCUUGUUGGUGGGGUAAUGGCCUACCAAGGCGUCGACGGGUAGCCGGCCUGAGAGGGUGUACGGCCACAUUGGGACUGAGAUACGGCCCAGACUCCUACGGGAGGCAGCAGUGGGGAAUAUUGCACAAUGGGCGCAAGCCUGAUGCAGCGACGCCGCGUGGGGGAUGACGGCCUUCGGGUUGCAAACUCCUUUCGCUAGGGACGAAGCGUUUUGUGACGGUACCUGGAGAAGAAGCACCGGCUAACUACGUG
Molecule: ribosomal RNA, 467 nt
Filed under: uncultured bacterium
Lineage: Bacteria
Description: partial 16S ribosomal RNA
Rfam family: Bacterial small subunit ribosomal RNA
Source: RNAcentral